This 435-nucleotide ribosomal RNA is filed under the name uncultured bacterium. Its description in RNAcentral is "partial 16S ribosomal RNA". It matches the Rfam family "Bacterial small subunit ribosomal RNA", at positions 29 to 507 of the family's 1533-position model. The record is from RNAcentral.
AGCGAACGCUGGCGGCAGGCUUAACACAUGCAAGUCGAGCGGGCAUCUUCGGAUGUCAGCGGCAGACGGGUGCGCAACCCGUGGGAACGUACCCUUCGGUUCGGCACAUCUCUGGGAAACUGGAGCUAAUACCGGAUACGCCCUUAUGGGGAAAGGUCGACUGCCGAAGGAUCGGCCCGCGUCUGAUUAGCUGGUUGGUGGGGGAACGGCCUACCAAGGCGACGAUUAGUAGCUGGUCGUGGAAGAGGAUCAGCCACACUGGGGCUGAGACACGGCCCAGACUCGUACGGAAGGGAGCGGUAGGGAAUAUUGGGCAAUGGGCGCAAGCCUGAUCCAGCCAUGCAGCGUGAGUGAUGAAGGCGUUAGGGUUGUAAAGCUCUUUUGUCCGGGACGAUAAUGACGGUACCGGAAGAAUAAGCCCCGGCUAACUUCGUG